RNAcentral lists this ribosomal RNA (501 nucleotides) under uncultured bacterium. RNAcentral describes it as "partial 16S ribosomal RNA". It matches the Rfam family "Bacterial small subunit ribosomal RNA", at positions 30 to 523 of the family's 1533-position model. The record is from RNAcentral.
AUUGAACGCUGGCGGCAGGCUUAACACAUGCAAGUCGAGCGGGGGAAGGUAGCUUGCUACCGGACCUAGCGGCGGACGGGUGAGUAAUGCUUAGGAAUCUGCCUAUUAGUGGGGGACAACAUCUCGAAAGGGAUGCUAAUACCGCAUACGUCCUACGGGAGAAAGCAGGGGAUCUUCGGACCUGGCGCUAAUAGAUGAGCCUAAGUCGGAUUAGCUAGUUGGUGGGGUAAAGGCCUACCAAGGCGACGAGCUGUAGCGGGUCUGAGAGGAUGGUCCGCCACACUGGGACUGAGACACGGCCCAGACUCCUACGGGAGGCAGCAGUGGGGAAUAUUGGACAAUGGGGGGAACCCUGAUCCAGCCAUGCCGCGUGUGUGAAGAAGGCCUUAUGGUUGUAAAGCACUUUAAGCGAGGAGGAGGCUACUCUAGUUAAUACCUAGGGAUAGUGGACGUUACUCGCAGAAUAAGCACCGGCUAACUCUGUGCCAGCAGCCGCGGUAA